Molecule: long non-coding RNA, 237 nt
Filed under: Arachis ipaensis
Lineage: Eukaryota; Viridiplantae; Streptophyta; Magnoliopsida; Fabales; Fabaceae
Description: long non-coding RNA (AIPA_LNC000182)
Source: RNAcentral
ACAUCGAUGACUAUGAGGAUGAUGAAGAGUUUGAUGAUGGAUAUGAUUGUGAGCAUAUGGUGAAAACAACAGACAGAAGGAGUUGUCCGAUUCGUCCAACUCUUCUGCGGCCAAAGACAGGACAAGGAAUCAGAUGCCAAUUGAUGCGAGUGGAAGAGACAGAAGCACAAACAUGCAUUCUGUUCUGAGCCCUGUAGAGAACCUAACUCAGUGGAAAGCAAUCAAAGCAAAAGUUCC